RNAcentral lists this long non-coding RNA (588 nucleotides) under Marmota monax (woodchuck). Lineage: Eukaryota; Metazoa; Chordata; Mammalia; Rodentia; Sciuridae. The record is from RNAcentral.
CCUAGAAUAAAUCCCACUUGAUGAGAGCAUAUCAUUAUUUGUACACAUUGGUGCAUUAAGUAUGGUAAUAUUUAUUGAGGAUGUUUGUUUCUAAACUUGAGUUCAUAUUGGGCUAUAUUUUUAUAUUGGCAUCUUCUACUUUUAGAAUCAAUAUAAUUUUGGCCUUGCCAAAUGAGUUUAAAAGUAUGGCCCCCUCUCCUAUUUUCUGGAGGAGAUUGGGUGAAAUUGGUAUUAACUAUGACUGGUAAAAUUUCCAUCUAUCUGGAAAUUUCUUUUUGGAUAGUUUUAAAUUACAAAUUCAAUUUCUUUAAUGGUUAUGGUAGUAUUGUAAUUGUCUAUUUCAUCUUGAUUGUGGUUUGCUAGUUCAUGCAUUUGGACAAAUUGGUCCAUUUCUUUCAAAUUGUCAAAUUUCUGAACAUAAAGUUGUUCAUUGUAUUUCUUUAUUAUCAUUUUUAAUGGUUGCAGGAGGUAUAAUGAUGCUUAUGUGUCACUUUUGUUGGGGUUUUAUCAAUUUUUUUCCAUGUACCACCUUUUGUUUCAUUGAUUGGGGGGGCAUGUUUUCCUGUUUUCAACUUCACUUAUUUCUGC